This 429-nucleotide ribosomal RNA is filed under the name uncultured bacterium. RNAcentral describes it as "bacterial SSU rRNA". It matches the Rfam family "Bacterial small subunit ribosomal RNA", at positions 355 to 776 of the family's 1533-position model. The record is from RNAcentral.
UGGGGAAUUUUGGACAAUGGGGGCAACCCUGAUCCAGCAAUGCCGCGUGCGGGAAGAAGGCCUUCGGGUUGUAAACCGCUUUUGUCAGGGACGAAAAGGUGCUUGUGAAUAAUGAGCGCUGCUGACGGUACCUGAAGAAUAAGCACCGGCUAACUACGUGCCAGCAGCCGCGGUAAUACGUAGGGUGCAAGCGUUAAUCGGAAUUACUGGGCGUAAAGCGUGCGCAGGCGGUUGGGUAAGACAGAUGUGAAAUCCCCGGGCUUAACCUGGGAACUGCAUUUGUGACUGCUCGACUGGAGUAUGUCAGAGGGGGGUGGAAUUCCAAGUGUAGCAGUGAAAUGCGUAGAUAUUUGGAAGAACACCGAUGGCGAAGGCAGCCCCCUGGGGCAAAACUGACGCUCAUGCACGAAAGCGUGGGGAGCAAACAGG